GGUCUCCGCACUGGCCAGCAUGCAGAACAUUCUGUUCAGUAAGCACUGGACAGAGGGCCCCAUCUAGAUGAGACAGAGCUGGUGGGGCAGGACAGGACUCCUGGCAGCUCAAAACGGCCUGGCAGAUGCUUGGAGAGAGGGGCUUCUUGAGACAGCACAUUUCUGGGAAGAGAGUCACCCGGGAGGAUGAGGCCACGCUCCGGCUUGGAGGUGAAGGGAGGGCCCGC
This is a long non-coding RNA of Pan troglodytes (chimpanzee), 227 nucleotides long. It matches the Rfam family "HTT antisense RNA 1 conserved region 1". The record is from Rfam. Lineage: Eukaryota; Metazoa; Chordata; Mammalia; Primates; Hominidae.